CCUCUUGGGGGGAAACCUCCCUGAGGUACGGGCAACUUUACCCUUGUCUAUACAUACCUAUUGUUAUUUCCCUCGGCGGGGCAACCCGCCGCUGGGGACAAUCUAAACCCUUUGUAUUAAAGUAUCAAAACUUCUGAAAAAAACAAAUAAUUACAACUUUUAACAAUGGAUCUCUUGGUUCUGGCAUCGAUGAAGAACGCAGCGAAAUGCGAUAAGUAGUGUGAAUUGCAGACUUUAGUGAAUCAUCGAAUCUUUGAACGCACAUUGCGCCCCUUGGUAUUCCAUUGGGCAUGCCUGUUCGAGCGUCAUUUACACCCUCAAGCUACGCUUGGUGUUGGGCGUCUGUCCCUGCUUUACGCAAGGACUCGCCCCAAAUUUAUUGGCAGCGGCAUUGUCGGCUUCUUGCGCAGCACUUCGCGCCUUGAAGAUCCCCGGCGGGCUUGCGUCCACUAAGAACCCCCCCAGUUUGACCUCGA
Molecule: ribosomal RNA, 476 nt
Filed under: ascomycete sp. olrim149
Lineage: Eukaryota; Fungi; Ascomycota
Description: eukaryotic LSU rRNA
Rfam family: 5.8S ribosomal RNA (bases 155-308)
Source: RNAcentral